AGAUUUUUGGUUAAAGAGUUAUGUAAUAGAAACCGUUUCCCUCCUCUAACCCAUUCCAUUACUUUGUUUCCACUGUAAAAUUUGGGGAAACAAAUCCCCUUUCUUUCCUCUAUCUAUUCUCUCUCCUGUCAUACAACAGAUCACCCCUCAAAAUCCUCAACUUUGAUCGAUCGAAGCCACAAUUUCGCUGAAGAACCCUAAAUUUUCGUACUUCAAAUUUCCAGAAAUCCACAAUCUCAAGGUUUGAUCUCUCACUUUUUUGAUUAAGAACCCUAGAUGUUGAGUUUGUGUUGAAUUUAUAUAAAAUUUGUUUGAUUGAUUGUGUUUUGAUUUUUCUACUGUAUAUCGAAAGAUUGCUAUUUAGGAGGUAUUUUCGAUUCAUGCUCUUAAUUUGAUUUGCGAUCCAUAUUUUUUUGUUUGUGUUGAUUGCUAUUUUCGAUUUAUGGUGUUAAUUUCUAGGGUUUUCUGUCCUAAUUUAUCAUUUUUAUUUGAGUUUUAUUUUUCUCAAUUGAAUCACCUGCUUUUUGUUUCAUGACAUUAUUGCUAACAUGAUAUCAAUUUUCGAUUUUAUGCUUAAAUUAGAUGGUAUAUAUAGCUAUUAUUGCAUGUAAUUGUUGUAUAUUUUGUGUUUUCCCCCAAAUUUCGAUUUAUGCUUAAAUUAGAUGGUAUAAUUUGUUGUUAUUAUUUGGCUUCUUUUAUCAGUAUUGUUGAAAUAAUACUUACUGAUUUUUUUGUUCUGCAAAUUUUGAUUUUAUGCUAUUAUUAUUUGGCUUCUUUUCCCCCAAAUUUGAUUUUAUGCUUACUAGUAACACAAACUGAUGUCUUAGGAUUUCUACUGCUGCAUUUUUUUGUUGGUUAUUUUGUGUUACUCCCCCAAUUUUUUCCAUGAUUUUGGUUUACUUUUGGUGGGUUGAUUGUAUAGUUGGGGAUUUUUUUUGGAUUUUAAGUGCAUUAGGAAGUUGCUUGUUUAGAAUUUUGAUUUCUUCUAAUGAUUUCUAAAAGCUUAAGCAAUUGCAAUAAUAUUCUUCCCUUGAAUUCAUGAAAUCAUAAUCAAAGUAUAGUCCAAUUGUUCAGAUUGGUUAAGAAAAAAUAUGACUGAGACUUGACAGAAACAUUGAGUGGUGGGACUACAAGUCCAUAUUUGCACUAGGUAAGCCAGAAUAUCCCCUUUGCAACGAUUUAGGCAGCUUUAACAAUAGAUACCACACCAAAGCUAAAGUAAAAAUAAAACCAAUUAUACAGACCCUCAGCUUUGGUCCAUAUGACUUCUUCUGUGGGUACUUGAUGAAAAUCAGAUGCAGGAAAAGGAGUAGAUAGUUAAUAUUAUUAGUCAAUCAUAAGAGAAAUAUUCAAAUAAACUAGCUCAUGAUUACUAAUCUCCUUGGGAAAACAUCCCAUACUCAAGUUCUCGAUGUGUUGCAACGCAAUCUUUAUGCAGUUGACUGUAAUCUUGGCUAAUAGAAUAUGUGACAUUCAUCUCGUUCUCUAACGUAUCAUGAAAAUUUUGCCGUUUGUCAGGUUCAAUUUCCAUUUGUUGUGUUUCUUGUACAAUGGCUCGACUUAUGCGUUCUAUAAGGAAGAAAAAACUAUAACAAAUACAAUUAGUAAUUGCAAUGGUUAUUAUUAUGUUGAUGAUGUAUUGGAUGUGGUAUAUAAUUUGCGUUGUUACAAUAAGGGGGGUUCAAAUAAAAGAAAGGAAAAGAAACAAAAAAUUGUUACGAAUGUUAGUAUUGAGAGGGCUUUAUAGGGAGAGUGAUGUGAAAUGCAAGAGUGAGCUUCGCGUUAAUAGAAGAACUUUCAAUAUUAUUUGUGAGAUGCUUAGAGACAUUGGGGGUUUGAGUGGAACAAAAAACAUGUCGCUUCAAGAGAUAGUUGCCAUGUUUUUAUACACGUUGGCUCAUCAUAAGAAGAAUAGGUCUAUUAGACAAUACUUCUUUAGAAGUGGAGAAACCGUGAGCCGACAAUUUCACCUUUGUCUAAGGGAUUUUCUCAAGUUGCAUGAAGUACUACUUUACAAUCCCACACCAAUAUCGGAUGAUUGUGAAGAUGAAAGGUGGAAAUCCUUCAAGAAUUGUUUAGGGGCAUUAGAUGGGACUUACAUUAAUGUAAAUGUGCCUUCACAAGAACGACCAAAGUAGAGAACAAGAAAAGGAACAAUUGCUAUGAAUGUAUUGGGUGUUUGUGCACCUAAUAUGCAAUUUAUUUAUGUUCUUCCUGGUUGGGAAGGUUCGGCCCAUGAUAUGCGUGUACUUCAAAAUGCUCUUUCUAGACCAAACGGUUUUAGGGUACCUCGAGGGUAUACGAAUUGUGAGGGUUUUCUUGCUCCAUAUAGAGGUCAAAGAUACCAUUUAAAAGAAUGGACGGAUCGACAACCCGAAAGUGCCGAGGAAUUCUAUAACAUGAAACAUGCUAGGGCGCGAAAUGUGAUUGAGAGAUGUUUUGGCCUACUUAAAGGAAGAUGGAGUAUACUUAGAAGUCCUUCAUUUUUCCCUAUUCGAACUCAUGGACGUAUCGUGAUGGCUUGUUGCUUAUUGCAUAAUCUAAUUAGAAAAUUCAUGCCUACGGAUGAUAUAAAAGAAGAUGAAUUGAGUGAAUCCGAUGAUGAUUCCAAGAGUGAUUCUGAUGAUGAGAGGGAGUUUAUUACAAGUGUUGCUACUUCAGAUCAUUGGACCAAUUUUAGAAACACAUUAGCCCAAGAUAUGUUUAACGAUUGGAGGGCGAGAGGUAGACAUGGUCAAUAACACAAAAAAUGGAGGCUAGUCAAGCUAAAGGUGAGGCAAGCAAUCGAGGAAGAGGCAAAAAUAAAAGGUAUUGGACGUAUGAAGAAGACGCGGUUCUAAUAAGAUAUUUGCAUGAGUUGAGUUGUGAUCCGAAGUGGAAGUGUGAGAAUGGGUUUAAGAAUGGUUACAUGAAUAAGUUGGAAGAGAUGAUCUAUCGUGUACUUCCUAAUUGCGGCUUGAGAGCGGUGCUUCUGUAUUAUCUGCUUGUGUGGUAACUGCUUCUGUAUUAUAUGCUUCUGUAGUCAAUGUAUAUUUUGUUGCUACCUUGCUGCAUCCCCCUUACAUUAUGCCUUAUAUAUUCUCUCAUUACCUGAAUUUUUAAUGAGUUUACAGCUCAAGACUGAUUUUACUGAUUUUCUCAACAACUGGAUUAGAUAUACACCUUCCGAUAUAUUUUUUUUCUCCUCUUAUCGUAGAUUCUUUUUACAUAGGUAAUACUGAGAAAGGUGAAUGGGUGUAAAAAUGGUUGAUAAUGUAAGAUAGAAAGAUAGAUGGAGUAAAUAGGUGGGUGGAUGGAAGAAAAGUUGGAUAGAGUAAGAGAUUACAAAUGUGUUAUGUGUAUGUAUUUUUAUUACAUUAAUGCCUCCUUUAUAUUGUAUUGAAAUGUUAAUAAAGAGAUCCAAAUGCUGGAAAUAUUUUUUCUUAAA
Chenopodium quinoa (quinoa) is the source of this 3427-nucleotide RNA transcript. RefSeq lists it as uncharacterized. The transcript is spliced from 4 exons. Lineage: Eukaryota; Viridiplantae; Streptophyta; Magnoliopsida; Caryophyllales; Amaranthaceae. The record is from RefSeq and is a predicted model, not a curated record.